Molecule: long non-coding RNA, 219 nt
Filed under: Lathyrus oleraceus (garden pea)
Lineage: Eukaryota; Viridiplantae; Streptophyta; Magnoliopsida; Fabales; Fabaceae
Description: Pisum sativum (pea) long non-coding RNA (PSAT_LNC016167)
Source: RNAcentral
UGAAAGUCUGUUAUUGGGGUUGGUUAAUCCUUGAAGGGUAUUGAAGCUAGAGGAAGAUUUUUGAAGGUCAAGUGAAGGAGAGAAAACCCAAUUUGGUUCUGUUAUGGGAAGAGGUAGAGUUUCGGUUAGGCUUAAUGUGGAUUUCUGUUAGAAGUUUUGUUAGAGGGUUGUUGACAGUUGGGUUAGUUAUGAAGGUUGUUAUGAAUGAGUUGGAAGUUG